Molecule: ribosomal RNA, 429 nt
Filed under: Chloroflexota bacterium
Lineage: Bacteria; Bacillati; Chloroflexota
Description: Chloroflexi bacterium partial 16S ribosomal RNA
Rfam family: Bacterial small subunit ribosomal RNA
Source: RNAcentral
UGGGGAAUAUUGCACAAUGGGCGCAAGCCUGAUGCAGCCAUGCCGCGUGUAUGAAGAAGGCCUUCGGGUUGUAAAGUACUUUCAGCGGGGAGGAAGGGAGUAAAGUUAAUACCUUUGCUCAUUGACGUUACCUGCAGAAGAAGCACCGGCUCACUCCGCGCCAGCAGCCGCGGAAACACGGAGGGUGCAAGCGUUAAUCGGAAUUACUGGGCGUAAAGCGCACGCAGGCGGUUUGUUAAGUCAGAUGUGAAAUCCCCGGGCUCAAACUGGGAACUGCAUCUGAUACUGGCAAGCUUGAGUCUCGUAGAGGGGGGUAGAAUUCCAGGUGUAGCGGUGAAAUGCGUAGAGAUCUGGAGGAAUACCGGUGGCGAAGGCGGCCCCCUGGACGAAGACUGACGCUCAGGUGCGAAAGCGUGGGGAGCAAACAGG